This 3404-nucleotide long non-coding RNA is filed under the name Salmo salar (Atlantic salmon). Its description in RNAcentral is "lncRNA (ENSSSAG00000088472.1)". The record is from RNAcentral. Lineage: Eukaryota; Metazoa; Chordata; Actinopteri; Salmoniformes; Salmonidae.
UAGCGGCUAGUCCUGGAGUGGAGUAGAGAUUCAGACAGCCAGGCCAGCCCUGGUCUAAGGGGUGAAAGACUGCUGCAGCCCUUUAGACAAUGGAAAGAGAGGGGGCGAUGGGGAAACACACAUAGCAACUCUCCUAGAAAGUGGAAUUUAAAUUAGACGGCUGAUCUAUGUCCCCAAUAACCUAGGCUAGUUGUGUUACUCACGGACUCACUGAUCGCCAAGCAAGGAUAUUGAAUGGUGUGAGCAACUGAAAAAGGACCACCUGUUUCCUGUGUUGUAAUAAAGGCCUGUAUUGUGUUAAGAACACAUUUACUGAAGUCAGUUUCUUGACUAGACGAGUUAAACAAAUAGCUGUAAUUGAAUGGUAUGAAAAUCAAUAUUGCGCGGAUCUGAUUGUAAAGCGGUUUGAUUUGACUAUUUUCAAGGUAUAAACUGACUCCUAUCAUUUUCUAAAAUCUCAGUCCUCCAACAUUACAUAAUGGCCACAGCUAUGUUGUUUUGCCUUAUUGUCCCUUUAGUAGCAGUGUGCCAGUAGACUCCCUAGUGCGGUGUCAGUCAAUCCGCUCCCCCCUCCACUCUGUCCUGUUUACCCUCUUUUUUCUUCCACAUGUCCCCUGAUUGCUGAGACAACAGGCUAUUCUCCCUGUAAACAACCAGAGGGACACAGACACCAGUCCUGACGACCCUCUCCCAGCUCUCUUUCCUCUCACUCAAAUGGUGCUGGAGAGGAACAAGACAUAGGAGGGACUCACUUAAUUAGCUGGACGAGAAAAUGCAUUGUGGCAAUUACCCAGCACAAAGAGGCAGGAACGUAUAGCCUGUUCAUUUGGCGUGAGGUGGCAGGACUCAGCCAGGAAUGCAUUUUCCUGUUGCCUGGACUCCCCCGGCCUUUAAUGUGCAGAGAGAAGCAGCAACAAUGGAGCCAGAGAUGUACUCCACAGUAGAACCACUUCCAGUCCUUUCAGAGAAGGGACACCACAUUCUAGUAUCUUAUUGGUUGAAAUGCAUGUCGAACUGAAGCCUAAAAGCAUGGGGCUGCGAAUAAGGUUUGCUGUGGUAAUUCACGCAUCUGAUAUCAUGGUCAUUCAUUUUCCCUGCAGUGUUAUUUCACUGCAGAUGUUGACUGGCAGGAACAGGUACAGUGAUACAUGUUCUACGAUUCUUCUCUUCCCCCAUCACUCCAUCACUUCAUGUGGUGCUCCUGGGCCUGCUAUUUCUAUUUCUACUGCCUCUGAGUGGGUUGAUUUGGCAUGUUCAAUCAACUGGGCUGCCAAAUCCCUGUUAAGUGUUGCAGAGCCAUAUCUGUCUGUGCCCUUGUUGUGCUAUGUUACCUGGAUUCCUUAACUGUCCCCUAAAUAUCCUCUAUAAAAGUCCCCCCUAAUGGAAUUAUCUGGUGCAUUUGUCAUUGGAUUUGAAUGGGCGGGUGUGCGUUGGCAUAAUGAGAGGACUUUGAUUUUGAAGUGCAUGAAGAAAGGCCUCUGGCUCACACACUUUACCUCCAGUACCUUCAGGGUCAUCCUCACCUAGCUCACCAUUCCCAUCUUCUCUGUCUCCACUCCUUUAUUUGUCCUCUUGUUCUUUGAGCCACUGGUCUCUCUCACCCUUCGCUCCUCCUUUGCCUCCUGCCGUCCCUCACACCUGAUCCUUUCAUCUACUCCUCCCUAAUCUCCUACUAAAACCCCUCCAUCCUCUCCUCCCCUCUCCCCUCUCUGUUACCCUCUACCCCUCGUUAAGUAUCACCCCAUGCUGCUCAUCCCUCUCUCUCCUUCUAUCCUCCAUUCUUAUCCUCCUUCUCUCCCUUUCCUCCUCUCUCUCUCUCUCUCUCUCUCUCUCUCUCUCUCUCUCUCUCCCCUUUCCUCUCUCUCUCUCUCUCUCUCUCUCUCUCUCUCUCUCUCUCUCUCUCUGUCCCUGUCUCUCUCUCGCUCUCUUGCUCUCUCGCUCUCUUGCUCUCUCGCUCUCUCGCUCUCUCUCUGUCUCUCUCUCUCUCUCUCUCUCGCUCUCUCUCUGUCUCUCUCUCUCUCUCUCUCUCUGUCUCUCUCUCUGUCUCUCUCUCUGUCUCUCUCUCUCUCUCUGUGUGUUUAAUUGAGUCAGUGAGCAGUUGACUGCCCCCGUCAUUGGUGGGGAGCGGGUUGGCCCAGCCCUCCCAGGAGGGGAGACAUUGUCUGGGCUGUCCCGCCGGUGUAAUCCCCUCCACCGGGACAAAGACCUGGUCCCCCUUCCCCACUGAAGGGCAUUGGCCCCCCCAACAAGAGCCCAACCCUGGCCCUGCCUGGCCUGGCCCAACGACUCCUCAUCAAACCCCCUGGUCCCCAGACUAGGCCUGGGUUUAGACUCUGGUCAAAAGUAGUGCUCUAUGUGAGAUCCCCAGCCACAAGUAACACCCGGAGAGGGGUCUCUGUCUCAUCAAAGGCCUGUUUACCUACUCACUGACUGAGAUACCCAUGGAGGUGGCAUUGUACAGUGAGGUACACAGUAAGUAGGUGUGGCUGUAUUUGGAUGUGAGUUCCAGGCACUAGUGAUGGUGGAAUAAGGAGCUUUCCAGGGAUUAUCCUUUAGGCUCAGGCAUAUAUUAAUGUUUGAAAUAUCAACAUAAAAAAAUUAUUAUGACAAGAAUUUACUAAUCAUGUGAGCUUGUGUCACAAGUAGUAUUAGUAAUAGCAGUUCUGUAGUAAUAUGAGGAAGAAACAUUUAUACAUGUUCACCGUCAUUUUGAUGUAGGCUGUGCAUGGGUAUGUAAAUACACACACAUGUACAUUUACACAGUUCAUCUAAGAUACUUAGCUCCUAAGCUCUUGCAGAACAGCCCCCACACCCUGCUAGCCUUCCACUAUCCCCUGUUCAUCUCUCUCCCUCUCCCUCUCUCUCUCUCUCUCUCUCUCACACACACACACACACGCACACACACACACUCACACUCACACUCAGGGAGAGAGGAGGCAAGGUUGCCAUGGGAACCACUGGUCAGAGUUUACCAGAGGGGAAACAAACAAAGUACUGUUCAUAAAAGCUGGAUAUAUAUAGUGUGCAGAUAUCCAGUGUGUUUGUCCGCAUGCGCAUUACGAUCCAUGUCCCUUUUUAUAGUGACAUCACUUCUACCACACAUUCACACACUGACAUCCUUUGUGAUUCCGUCUCUUGGAAUUCUGAGGUUUUGAAUCAAACGUUGAUUUUUGAUCUUUCCGAUUGACCUCAUAGAAAUACAUUGUCAUUGUUUCCCUACCUGCUAUUUGAAUCCUCAGUGAUUUGGUUACUCAAACACAAUGAUAUCUUCAAAAAACAUGAGCAUUGACAGAAAGAUGUGUCACAUACACAUGACAUAUCUCAUCAUUCACUCCUGAGCCUCUUCCACUUUCACUCUCAUAUUCUCUGUCUGUGUGUGUGUGUGUGUGUGUGUGUGUGUGUGU